Molecule: ribosomal RNA, 538 nt
Filed under: uncultured bacterium
Lineage: Bacteria
Description: bacterial SSU rRNA
Rfam family: Archaeal small subunit ribosomal RNA
Source: RNAcentral
AGUAAAUAGAUACCCGGGUAGUCCUAGCCGUAAACGAUACUCGCUAGGUGUCGGCCACGGUGCGACCGUUGUCGGUGCCGUAAGGGAAAGCCGUGAAGCGAGCCACCUGGGAAGUACGGCCGCGAGGCUAGAAACUUAAAGGAAUUGGCGGGGGAGCACCACAACGGGUGGAGCUUGCGGUUUAAUUGGACUCAACGCCGGAAAUCUUACCGGGACCGACAGCAACAUGAAGGCCAGGCUGAAGACUUUGCCGGAUUAGCUGAGAGGUGGUGCAUGGCCGUCGUCAGUUCGUACUGUGAAAGCAUCCUGUUAAGUCAGGCAACGAGCGAGACCCACGCCCACAGUUGCCAGCGUACUCUCCGGAGUGACGGGUACACUGUGGGGACCGCCGCUGCUAAAGCGGAGGAAGGAAUGGGCAACGGUAGGUCAGUAUGCCCCGAAUAUCCCGGGCUACACGCGAGCUACAAUGGUUGGUACAAUGGGUAUCUACCCCGAAAGGGGAUGGAAAUCUCCUAAAGCCAAUCUUAGUUCGGAUUGA